This 253-nucleotide ribosomal RNA is filed under the name uncultured bacterium. Its description in RNAcentral is "partial 16S ribosomal RNA". It matches the Rfam family "Bacterial small subunit ribosomal RNA", at positions 524 to 776 of the family's 1533-position model. The record is from RNAcentral.
UACGAAGGGGGCUAGCGUUGUUCGGAAUUACUGGGCGUAAAGCGCACGCAGGCGGAUUUAUAAGUCAGGGGUGAAAUCCCGGGGCUCAACCUCGGAAUUGCCCUUGAUACUGUCUAUCUUGAGUCCGGGAGAGGUGAGUGGAAUUCCUAGUGUAGAGGUGAAAUUCGUAUAUAUUAGGAAGAACACCAGUGGCGAAGGCGGCUCACUGGCCCGGUACUGACGCUCAUGUGCGAAAGCGUGGGGAGCAAACAGG